This is a long non-coding RNA of Callithrix jacchus (white-tufted-ear marmoset), 1802 nucleotides long. RefSeq lists it as uncharacterized. The record is from RefSeq and is a predicted model, not a curated record. NCBI's taxonomy places the organism in Eukaryota, Metazoa, Chordata, Mammalia, Primates, Cebidae.
GAUAGUGAAUAAGUCUCACGAGAUCUGACGGUUUUAUCAGGGGUUUCCGCUUUGGCUUCUUCCUCAUUUUUCUGUUGCUGCCCGUGAUGUAAGAAGUGCCUUUCACCUCCCGCCGAGAUUUUGAGUCCUCCCCAGCCAUGUGGAACUGCUGGAGUGCAGUGGCGCGAUCUAGGCUCACUACAACCUCUGUCUCCCAGGUUCAAGUGAUUCUUCUGCCUCAGCCUCCCAAGUAGCUGGGACUACAGAAUAAGGUACCUAACAUUGAUGAGGACAGCAACAGCAACAACCACUCCACUCAUUGAAUGUUAUCACGUACCAGGCGUGGUUCUACAGCAUUUUCCAGAUUGCAAUUCGAUUUCAUUCUCACAGCAACACUGCAGGGUGGACAUCAUGACUGGCAUCUUUUAGAGAUGGGUGAGAGAGGCGUGCCCAGGAUCAUCAUAACCAGCUUGUGGCAACAUGCUUCGAUGAUCUUAUAUAUAUUUUUUGAGACAGAGUUUUUAAAACAACAGCCUCUGUUGCCCAGAGUGCAGUGGCGUGAUCUCAGCUCAAUGCAACCUCCACCUCCUGGGUUCAAGUGAUUCUCCUGCUUCAGCCUCCUGAGUAUCUGGGAUUACAGGCAUGUGCUACCACGUCUGGCUAAUUUUGAAUUUUGAGUAGAGACAGGGUUUCUCCAUGUUGCCCAGUCUGGUCUUGAACUCCUGACCUCAGGAUUGACCUGCCUUGGCCUCCCAAAGUGCUGGGAUUACAGCUAUGAGCCACUACCCCAACUUCUUUUAAUGCAUACUUCUCAGGCUAUCAGUUAGACUAUACAGCAGGGGGCAAUAAUUUUUUUUUUCUGUGAAGUUCCAGAUAGUAAAUAUUUUAGGCUUGCAGGCUAUAAGCUUUCUGUCGCUCAACUCUAAACCCAACUCUGCCAUUUUGCACAAAAAUAGCCAUAGACGAUAUCUAAUGAAUGAGCAUAGCUGUGUUCCAAUAAAACUUUAUAGAUACUGAAAUUUGAACUGUAUAUAAUUUCCAUGUGUCAUUAAAUAUUAUACUCCUUUCAAUGUUUUAAAACAUUGAAAAACAUGCAAAUCAUUCUUAGUUCAUGGGGCAUAUAAACAGCAGCAGGUUAUUGAGCUGAGAGCUACAAGUUUGCCGACCCCUGCUGCAGACGUUCAAGACAGAGUCAUACCUAUUUUAUCUAUUUCCCUCACUGGCUAGUGGUAGGGCCUGGAGAAAAUAAUACAGGUUUUAGAGGUGUAUAUGUUUGAGUUGAAGUUCAAGCUCUGUAUUACACUGUACUCAGCAAAACAGAUACUCUGUAACAGUUGGUUUUCUGCCCUUUCAAAGUCAUAUUUUUUAAGGUACUGCUCAGUUUUUAUCUUAAUUCCAUCUUAUCCCAAUAAUGCAGUUUCUCCAGUGACUCACUAGGGACCAGGGGAAGAGGGGCAGUUAUUUGGGUAAAUGUUGGUGUUUUCUGUCAUUAAGCCUCACUGAAGAGAAUAUAAAGAUUUAAAAAAUGUUGGGAGCCACAGUGGCUCCGGCCAGUUAUUCAGGUGCUUGAGGAGGCAAGGCUAUGAGUUCAAGGCCAACCUGAGCAAAAUAAGAAGCUCUCAUUGAUUAAUAAAAAAUGUAUAACCAUUCUAAGGACCUCAAAAGUCCCACUGCAAAUAGGCAAAUCUCUACCCCCAACUGUAUCUGGUCUAUGAAUGGAGUCUGCAGGUUUCAAUCACCCUUGAAAGAUGGUUGCAUAUGCUAAAAUCCUACUUAACUUUCUGAAAAGUAAGUUACAUUGCAUUUUGAAAUUUAUAUAACAC